AGCGAACGCUGGCGGCAGGCUUAACACAUGCAAGUCGAGCGGGCAUCCUUGUGGUGUCAGCGGCAGACGGGUGAGUAACGCGUGGGAACGUGCCCUUCGGUUCGGAAUAACUCAGGGAAACUUGAGCUAAUACCGGAUACGUGCGAGAGCAGAAAGGUUUAUCUGCCGAAGGAUCGGCCCGCGUCUGAUUAGCUAGUUGGUGAGGUUACGGCUCACCAAGACGACGAUCAGUAGCUGGUCUGAGAGGAUGAUCAGCCACACUGGGACUGAGACACGGCCCAGACUCCUACGGGAGGCAGCAGUGGGGAAUAUUGGACAAUGGGGGCAACCCUGAUCCAGCCAUGCCGCGUGAGUGAUGACGGCCUUAGGGUUGUAAAGCUCUUUUCUCCGGGACGAUAAUGACGGUACCGGAGGAAUAAGCCCCGGCUAACUUCGUG
This 437-nucleotide ribosomal RNA is filed under the name uncultured bacterium. RNAcentral describes it as "partial 16S ribosomal RNA". It matches the Rfam family "Bacterial small subunit ribosomal RNA", at positions 29 to 507 of the family's 1533-position model. The record is from RNAcentral.